This 1352-nucleotide ribosomal RNA is filed under the name metagenome. Its description in RNAcentral is "bacterial LSU rRNA". It matches the Rfam family "Bacterial large subunit ribosomal RNA", at positions 1564 to 2925 of the family's 2925-position model. The record is from RNAcentral.
CGAGUCCGAGUCUCCACGGAGACGAAGUGGCGGUCAUCCAGCUUCCUAGAAAAGCUCUAACCACGUUAAUCUUUAGUUGCCUGUACCCGAAACCGACACAGGUAGGGGGGUAGAGAAUACCAAGGGGCGCGAGAUAACUCUCUCUAAGGAACUCGGCAAAAUGACCCCGUAACUUCGGGAGAAGGGGUACCACUGAGAAGUGGUCGCAGUGAAGAGGCCCAGGCGACUGUUUACCAAAAACACAGGUCUCCGCCAAGUCGCAAGACGAAGUAUGGGGGCUGACGCCUGCCCAGUGCCGGAAGGUUAAGGAAGUGGGUUAGGGAUUCGUCCCGAAGCUGACGACUGAAGCCCCGGUGAACGGCGGCCGUAACUAUAACGGUCCUAAGGUAGCGAAAUUCCUUGUCGGGUAAGUUCCGACCCGCACGAAAGGCGUAACGAUCUGGGCGCUGUCUCGGAGAGAGGCUCGGCGACAUAGGAAUGUCUGUGAAGAUACGGACUACCUGCAUCUGGACAGAAAGACCCUAUGAAGCUUUACUGUAGCUUGGAAUUGGGUUCGGGCUUCCCUUGCGCAGCAUAGGUGGGAGGCGUUGAAGAUUUGCUUGUGGGUGAAUCUGAGCCAACGGUGAGAUACCACUCUAACCAGGCUAGAAUUCUAACUUCAACCCGUCAACCGGGGGAAGGACAGUUUCAGGUGGGCAGUUUGACUGGGGCGGUCGCCUCCUAAAAGAUAACGGAGGCGCACAAAGGUUCCCUCAGGCUGGUUGGAAAUCAGCCAACGAGUGCAAAGGCAGAAGGGAGCUUGACUGCGAGACCUACAAGUCAAGCAGGGUGGAAACACGGUCUUAGUGAUCCGACGGCACCGAGUGGAAGGGCCGUCGCUCAACGGAUAAAAGUUACUCUAGGAUAACAGGCUGAUCUCCCCCAAGAGUUCACAUCGACGGGGAGGUUUGGCACCUCGAUGUCGGCUCAUCGCAACCUGGGGCGGAAGUACGUCCCAAGGGUUGGGCUGUUCGCCCAUUAAAGCGGUACGUGAGCUGGGUUCAGAACGUCGUGAGACAGUUCGGUCCAUAUCCGGUGUAGGCGCAAGAACAUUGAGAGGAGUCUUCCUUAGUACGAGAGGACCGGGAAGAACGCACCGCUGGUGUACCUGUUAUCGUGCCAACGGUAAACGCAGGGUAGCCAAGUGCGGAGUGGAUAACCGCUGAAAGCAUCUAAGUGGGAAGCCCACCUCAAGAUGAGUGUUCUCAUGGAGUAAUCCAGUAAGGUCACGGGAAGACGACCCGUUGAUAGGCGGUAGGUGGAAGUUCAGCAAUGGAUGAAGCCGAGCCGUACUAACAGACCGGGGGCUUGAC